This 77-nucleotide transfer RNA is filed under the name Alphaproteobacteria bacterium. RNAcentral describes it as "tRNA-Pro". It matches the Rfam family "tRNA". Rfam says of the family: Transfer RNA (tRNA) molecules are approximately 80 nucleotides in length. Lineage: Bacteria; Pseudomonadati; Pseudomonadota; Alphaproteobacteria. The record is from RNAcentral.
CGGAGCGUAGCGCAGUCCGGUAGCGCACUAUUCUGGGGGGAUAGGGGUCGCUGGUUCGAAUCCAGUCGCUCCGACCA